AUUAUUUCUCUGUCUGACUCUACGCAGCCAUAUGCCAAAAAACCUAAAUAAGAUAUUUUUCCCAUUUUAUUUCCCCUUUGUUCGUUAUUUGGUUCAGUUUAAUCAGAGCUAAGUUACCUUGUGUUACGUUGUUCCCUUGUUAGUUUAGUAUAAAGUUAAACUGCUAGCUAAAAGUUUAAAACCAAGAAGGAUAAUAUUAACAGGAGAUAUGAACGAAAGAAUUGAACCAUGAUAAAACACGACAUGCACUACAAAUUGAAGGUAUGAAAUUAAGUUAAAUGAAAGCUCGUUUAUUCACCAUAUGAUGCUCGUUAUAAGGUAAUCAUAUAGGCUAGAUACCGUGAGUUAACGAGGUCGUUUACAUGCACGUGAGUGCACGGAUAUCGUUUAAUUAUUCAAAUUACUGAAAAACACGGAGAAAACCGCAACCGCAUAGUCAUGUGUUUUUCUAAGAUGUAUGCAAACAGGGGAAAUAUCGCCAAACCAACAAUUAAUUUGACCAAAACCUCACAAUAUAUCAUCAUUUGUGUGCACAGAUUGGAUGCAUUGUGUGUUGUAAGCUUUUCAUGGCGCUAGAUGUCAGACAGAUGCAAAUGGCAAAUACAUACGAAAGUGUAAAACGUGUAUGGCGAACAUUUGUUUUUCUGUCAUUAUAGAUGCUAGUUUGGUGAAAGUACACACUGAGUGCUUCAAAUCAUUCAGAAGAGAUGCUGUUUUUAGGGCAGUUUAUUAAAGAAGACCUGACAUGGAUGACUUCCAAUGAGAAACGACUGCUAAUACUUAUAUAAAUUCAUUACAGAAGGACCCUACCAGACUAUAUUUGAAUACGGCAUACCCAUGAAUUCUGGAACUGUUAUUCCUUAACCCAGUUUGGAGGAUAAGAGCUUACCAACUAGUUAUAAAUAUGCUGAGGUGAUGUAUUGCAAAAUAGACAACAUAUAACAAUUAAAGGAUAAUUGCAGACUACAUCCUGAUGAAGAUAUGGAUGACCCUCUGUCUGGUCAACAGGAGUUUAAAUAUGGUGAGUGUACAUGGGUUUGCUACUUUUACGGUUUUAAAGUUUAACUGUAUACUCUUGGUGUUUAAAGGCGCUCUAAGCGAAUAAUGUGCGACGUCACUUCCUGUUGAUGUUUGAACUGUUUUCAAACAGACAGAGCGUAGCUAACUCCUCCCCCUCCCCCUCCCUUCCGUGCUUUCAUGAACGCGCCCAACCCCCACCCCCAAAUCCUUCUUGUCGUUUAUUGGCUGGAAUACUUUGUUUCGUUUUGUGCUGCUAGGUUUGGCCAUUUGUUGAUAUUGCCGUUUGUGAAGCCUGGGUUGUCUACAGAGAUCGCGUUUUUUUACAGUUUGAUCAGCGGACAGGCAGCAAGCAGAUAGUGAGGAGAUGUUUC
Molecule: long non-coding RNA, 1391 nt
Organism: Paramisgurnus dabryanus
Lineage: Eukaryota; Metazoa; Chordata; Actinopteri; Cypriniformes; Cobitidae
Source: RefSeq, a predicted model, not a curated record